AUUGCUUCUUGGCCUUUUGGCUAAGAUCAAGUGUAGAAUGUUAUACUACUACAAUUUUAAUGAUCUAUGAUUACUUUAA
Molecule: small nuclear RNA, 79 nt
Organism: Oryctolagus cuniculus (rabbit)
Lineage: Eukaryota; Metazoa; Chordata; Mammalia; Lagomorpha; Leporidae
Gene: U2
Rfam family: U2 spliceosomal RNA
About the family: U2 is a small nuclear RNA (snRNA) component of the spliceosome (involved in pre-mRNA splicing). Complementary binding between U2 snRNA (in an area lying towards the 5' end but 3' to hairpin I) and the branchpoint sequence (BPS) of the intron results the bulging out of an unpaired adenosine, on the BPS, which initiates a nucleophilic attack at the intronic 5' splice site, thus starting the first of two transesterification reactions that mediate splicing.
Source: Ensembl